Canis lupus familiaris (dog) is the source of this 6225-nucleotide long non-coding RNA. RefSeq lists it as uncharacterized. NCBI's taxonomy places the organism in Eukaryota, Metazoa, Chordata, Mammalia, Carnivora, Canidae. The record is from RefSeq and is a predicted model, not a curated record. The transcript has 3 exons.
GUUCAAACCGUGGUCCAGAUACUGGGAGGCACUGUGCCUUCUGAGGAGGCCUGUUCUAUCUCUGUCCUUGUCUGUCAUCGUUCACCUUAUUGCUCUUUGAUCCCAAGAUGGUUGUGUUAAAUCUGGUCAUCUGUGGAAACAUCUAGCAGCUGUCCGUGCUGGGCGGCAGUGAGCACUGCUGUUGGUUUUGUCAGCAGGUUCCCGGUUCCCUGAAGUCAUGGAGCAUCAGCUUUGGGAUAUGCUCUUUGGCUGAGCCAGAGCGCCCGCUUCCUGAUGUUGUUUUCAUUUUGGUUCCAACCAGCUCUGAAGGGCAUCCACAUUCUCCUGUCACUGACUCGGAGGGAAGAAGUGAAUCACCGCUGGGGGAUGGAUACAGUCCAGUGAGGGGCGAGGAGGGGAAGAGGUGGAACCGGCAUCUGAGUGUGCAGUUUUUACCUGUUGAUGGUGGAGCCUGGGGAGAAGGCCCUUCACGGCCUCGGUGCGUGGACCAGGAGGCAGGCUAGGACACGUUGGGGGGCCUGUCUCCACUGAGAGCUCACGUUCAUUCCAGGAUCAGCGUGCCGGCCCCUGCCCUUCAGCUUCACCGCGCAGGGUGACUAGUGCUCUUCAGCACGGCAGUUGGUGGCCUGCGUCCCGGAGAGCCGGGCAGGGGUUCGAAGGGCGAGGCCUUGCUCCCCAGCAGCUGUGCCCUUCCUCUUUCCUUUCCCUCUCCCCCUGCUCCUUCCCUUUGCUCCUCUCCUGCCGCCUCCAUGUAAGCAGGACACUGGGGAUGGGGAUGGGGAGGAGGGUGGCACGUCCAGGUUCCUGGGUUGGCGAGGGGGACCUCUCUCCUUACCGCUGCGUGGGCCUGGUAGAGCGGCCCCCAGGGCUCUGGAGAGAGAAAGGAGGAGGGGCGCCUUGACUCCUGUGGAAUAGGAGGAGACUCCCAGAGCCCCACACCCCCUCCCCCGCCCCCAGCUCCAGGGCCCCAUCCUCAUUCCCCACUGCGCCUUCCUCCUCAGCUCUGACGACUUCUCCUGCCUCUCCUCCCACACGCACUUUGUUAUCCACUUUGUUACCCGGUCUGCUUAUUUGUCCCCUCCCUGUCCCCACUGAUGAGGAGCUGGGGCUCACAGGGCCGGGCCUUUCUGGUGGUUAAAGCAGUAAUUAGAUCCUGGUUUUUUUGCAGCGCUCCACUAUUGAGAGUAUUUCUGUGUUUCUGACAUUUCAGCUCAGGUGACAGGUUAGACUGCGCCGCCCACGUCAGUAGCCUCCAGCCACAUGUGGCUUUUUAAAUUCAAGGAAUCGAGAUGAAGCAAAAGUAGAAAUUCAGUUCCUCAGGAGCACUUGCCGUAUCCCAGGUGCCCGGUCACUGCAUGUAGCCCGUGGCUGUCCUGUUGGACCGCACCUAGUGGGCUCUCAGGUGUGCCUGCCCCCCUCCACCCCUGCUCCCAUCUUGGGAUCCUCCCUCUCUCACCUGGAACAUCGUCUGGCCUCCCCCCUUCAGUCUACCUCUCACUCUGUAGCUGAAGUGACCUCUUAGAAACAAACCUGAUCCUGGUUGCUCCCUCAUUAGACAUCUUCGCUGACUCUUCUUUGCUUCAGGCAACGAUAAGCUCCGUAGCCUGUUCUCCUGGGACCUGGACUCCUCACCUGCCAGGCCCGUGGAACCGUCGGAAGGCACCAGGUUCUUUCUUUCUUUCUUGCCUUUGCUCCUGUGUCUGGUGUACUCUUCCCCUCCCCGUCCCUCUCCUCCUUCCCCUUCCCUCUGAUCUUGAUGAGGACUUCUCACCUUCAUGGUGCUACUCAUCUGUUAAGUGUGGGACCAGCUGUCCUCCUUCCUGGGUCCCCCUCCUUGUGUCGUUCAGCACUCUAGAGGAGUCGCCCUGUUGUCUUCUGGCUUACAUCAUUCCUGAUGAAAAGUUUGGUUAUAAUUCCUUGUUCCUUUGUGGAGUGGGUCUCUUUUCUUCUGAGUGCCUUCAAGAUUUUCUCUUUUGAUUUUCAGCACUUUGAAUAUGAUAUAUCCAGAUAUCUAUUUUUUGGUUGGGGGGCUGAUAACUUCUGCUUGGGGUUCUCUGAGCCUUGUGGAUCUGCAGUUUGUUACCUUUCAUUAUUUUGGAAAAAUUCUCAGCUAUUAGCUCCUCAGAUAUUUCUUCUGUCUUGUUCUCUCUCUUUCCUUCUGAGAUUCCAGUUACGUAUGUGUGAGAUAGAUAUUGUCCCAUAGCUCUUGGAUGUUUUUUCAUUCUUUCUCUUUGGGAAAAUUUCCGUUGACCAUUCUUUCGGUUGACUGAUUUUUUUCCUCCACUGUGUCAGAUCUAUGAGGUCAAGUCUGUGAGCCAUUCAGAAGCAUUCUAUGUUUCUGUUUCUGUGUUUUGAUUUUUCCUCUGGCUUUUUCACUUUUAGUUUCCAAGUCGUUGCCAAAAUAUCUUAUCUGUUCAAGCAUGGUGUCCACCUUUUCUGUGAAGUCUUUUAGCAUGUUAAACAGACUUAUUUUAAAUUCUCAGAGUCUGAUUCUUUUGAUUGAUUUGUCUCUUGACAUGAGAUUGAUUUCUUUUUCUUCAGUCUUUUUAAAAGGAGUAUACUUUUUGAUUGAAUGCUGGACACAGUGUUCUGACUCUGGAGACAAAGGUCAGUUGUAUUUAUGCUUGGAAAUGGGCCUGCCUUUUUCUGCCACACCGUUAGCAUUGGAGGGGAGUCAGUCUGGUAUGAGUUGGGCUGUAUUUGGGUUCUACUGCUGCUCUGGUCACUUGAAUGACCUACUCGUCUUAAUUCCUAUAGCAUCACCUUGUGCUUAGCAUGGGGCUUUUCUGGAGGUUCUUUCCCUGUUGUUCCUGAUCCCCACACCCUUGUCUUUCCCCCAGGGGUAAACUAUUGUUACUUGUUGCUCUGAUUUGCUGGCUUACAGAGGAAGGAUUUUGAGAGGGAUGUGCUCUGUCAUCUGGUCCAGCUGCAGCCUUAGAGUUUCAGGCUUAGGCAGGUUCUGAGCUCCUGGGUUUUGGUGGAGCUCUCAGAGAUCCCGCAACUGCCACCACCCCGGCAGCAGCCAACUCAGCCUUGAUGGUGGAUCUUGCACAGGAGAGUUUUACUUCUCUCUUGCAGUAUUUAGGGGUCUCUGAUAGAGCCCCGGGGAUGGUUUCUGCUCCCCACUGAGGGCAGAGGUAUUUUUCUUUAACCCAUUCAAAAGCCACAUUGGUUCUUCAGCUGGGGCUCUUGGGGCAACAGGAUUGGCUCUUCUUCCUCCAGUGUCUUAAAGCAUUUUUCCCAGAGAGAGAGAAGGACCCUGGCACGGUUCCCCUUUUCCUGCAGCCCUAGCACGGAGGCACUCUGUCUCCAGCCUGCCAGCCCUCGUCCUUGUGAGAACCAGACCUGAGUGUGUUUGAUGCCAGCCCUCUCCUUGUGUCUGGCUCUGCAAGCUCACAGUUUAGUCUUUGCAGUUAGUAGUUUACCUGAAUUCUUCUUUCCCACUUGCAAGGAGCCUUGCGUCUCUGCCUGACCAUCUGGAGGGCCUGUCUUUCAGGAUUUUCUGCUUCUUGGUGGUCCUGCAGCUUUAGCUGUCUGAUGGACUUGGAGUCAGGGGAGGAUCUUGUCCAUCUAGUCUUUCCUUGUUAGUGUAGAGCCAUGCUUCUCCCAGUUCCCUGUACCCUGGGGGAAGCGGCACCACUUCCUUGUGUCUUGACAGUCAGAUGAGGCAGUAGGCAGGCCUGCAGCUUCUGGAACAUCAGGUGGUGUGCUGUAUCACAUGAUCUCUGCUGUUAGUAGAGAGCGAGGACCCUGCACAGGCUUAUGGAGGGCAUAAAGGUUAGCAAAGGGGGUGUUGGGAUGUGGAACCUCCCCAGGGCAUGCUUUGCAGAGUUACGGAGUUUUCUGGGAGCCAAAUAAGUCAUUUCCAGAAGGAGUAGAAAGCCAGAGACCCCAGGUUGGGCUUGUGUGUGUUCUGUGGUGCACAGCUAGCUCUCAGGAGGCCUGGCUCAGCCUGAAAUGAGCCAGGGCAUCCUGAGCCUGCACUCCCCACCCGCCGGUGACAGGGCAGUGGACUGGGCCAUGGCUGUUUGUCUUUCUCAAGCCUCAGAGCAGGACCAGGAGGUGUGAGCAUUUCCUGUAUCUGUGCUGGGUGCCAUAGCUUCACUGGGAAGGAGGCCCACUUGCAGGUGAGGAAGGCCCACUUGCAGGUGAGGAAGUGAAGGCCUGGGCCGGCCUAAGGAGAAGCCGGCCCAGGUGCUGGCAGUAGAGCCCCUGGCUCUGGGCGGGCUGGCCCCCAGGGCCAUGUGUUGGGUACAAACCUACUCCACCUCCAUGGUCAGCCCCACGGUCACCACCACUGAUGCCUUCGGCAGCAGACAUCACGACAUGCAAUCCACGUGGUGGUCCUCACCAUGCCGCUGGGGAGACAGGCCUAGAGGGGCUCAGGGCUCAUUCUUGCUCAGCAUCCGGGUGUUAGGGAGUGGCCGAGCCAGGAUUUCAGACACAACGUCUAUAAGCCCGUGCCCCAGGGGCGUGCCUUUGGUUGGUCUGCCUCUCCCCGGAGGGGGCGUGCUCCGGUCCCGGAGAGCCUGAAGCAGGGGUUGAAUGGAGAAGUGAGGUGGGAGGUGGUCUCAGGAGUGGUGCCCUCGUGGGUCCUGGGGCUCUGCCUGCGGGGGGCUCCAGAGAGGGUGCAGAUAUGGCCCAGGGGCUCUCUUGAGGGGAGGAGGCCAGUGCUCUCCGGCCAGUCCUGUCUCUCAGCAGGUGAGGGUGCUUGGGGCCUUGGCUCCUGGCACUUCCCUCUGAGUGGGAAGUGAGAGCCUUCUUGUGUGGGGCCCGUCUGCUUGAGCUGCAGGUGAUGACGUCCAGGGUGGCUGGGGUGGGCGGCUGGGCACUGAGAGGGUCUGUUGCAGGCAGGGCGGCUUACAGCCACCUGGCCUGAGUCUCGGUUUCGGGGGAGGCCGUCACCCUUUUUGCAUCCUGCUCCUGGACGUGGGGGUGAUGUGCCUUGUCUCGCAGAGCGGUUGGAGGGUUGAAUGUGGUAAUGUGCCUGUAGCGCCCUGCUUGGGCCUAGUACUUUGUUAGGCCCUGUUUUCUUUGUCCCUCUUUCGUGUCAGCUCCACCUGGAACAUCUUGGGUUUGUUGCUGCGUGAAAGACCCUCUGGACUCAGUGCCUUGAAACAAGACUGUUACUAUAGCCUGCUGUAGUGUCUGCUGUCGCUGGUCUCGGCCAAACCCCCACGCGCCUGCGGGUCAAGUGGAGGCUUCAGGCCUGGCUGGGCUGAGCGGGGCAGCUCUGCUCCAGGUGUCUCUCCUCGUGCUGCGACGUGUGGGCUAGCCAGGGAAUGUCCCCCUCUCGGUGGCGGCAGAAGUAUGCAGAGUUCUGUGGCUUUGCCUCUUGCUUGGCCACAGCGAGCCACUGAUUGUGCCCAGCAUCAGAGAGAGGCGCUGCCUUCUUCAGGAGGAGCUGUGAGGCCACAUGGCAGAGUGUGGGUGGGGCAUGGUGGAGAACGGGGGCUCCCACUGCUGUCCACCAUAGUGUCCCCUAUGAUUCACUGGCUUGUCCCGUCCUGAGGGUCCUUUGUCAGAGGAUACUUUUUAAGAGGAGCCUCCACUGACUUUGCUGGGCCCUCAUAGGAGGUGGGGCCUCUCCCUCGUGGGUGGAGCCGCAGCAUCUGCCUGGUGGACCGGCACCCUCUUGGGAGGGGUUUGUGUGUAGGGGCCUGGACUUGUGUCAACAUCUGUGAUCCCAGGAACUCAAAGCCCAGGAGAGUUUCCUGCUUGGAGCUUGAGGGCCAGAGGUGUGGUGGCCGUGUCAGGCCCGCCAGACUUGAAGGAAGAGCUCGGCUGGAGGUCUGGGCCCCAGAUCCUAGGGGCCUCAUCAGACAGGGACUGUGGGAAGCCAGGGCUGUCAGGUGUGCUACAGACACCUUGUCAUCUCAGUGGGGGUGUGUGUGUGUGUGUGCUGUGUCCAGCAGGGGCACAGAUGCUGGCAUGGGGAGCUCUGUGGGCCGAGAAGCUAAGUUCCCUCAGUGGUGGGGGGCAGUCCCAGCUGCUUCCUCCCUCUGCCUCAGCCUCAUUCCAUCCCCAGCUGUGGGGGCUUCAGGGUGAGAGCUGAGGCCUGGAAGUGAGAACACGUGGCUCAGAGCCUUGGUUUUGCUGCCUAUUUGCUUUGUAAGCUUUGGAGGAGUGUAUGUAUAUUGUAUGUGUAUGUGUGUUUAUCUGUAACGUGUAUGUGUGCAGUGUUUGUAUACAUAUGUGUUAUCUUUGUGUGUGGUAUGUGUGUUG